CGCUAGCGAUAGGCUUAACACAUGCAAGUCGAGGGGCAGCAUGAUCUUAGCUUGCUAAGGUUGAUGGCGACCGGCGCACGGGUGCGUAACGCGUAUGCAACUUGCCUUACAGAGGGGGAUAACCCGUUGAAAGACGGACUAAAACCGCAUACACUUGUAUUAUUGCAUGAUAUUACAAGGAAAUAUUUAUAGCUGUAAGAUAGGCAUGCGUCCCAUUAGCUGGUUGGUGAGGUAACGGCUCACCAAGGCGACGAUGGGUAGGGGAACUGAGAGGUUUAUCCCCCACACUGGUACUGAGACACGGACCAGACUCCUACGGGAGGCAGCAGUGAGGAAUAUUGGUCAAUGGGCGAUAGCCUGAACCAGCCAAGUCGCGUGAAGGAAGACAGUCCUAAGGAUUGCAAACUUCUUUUAUACGGGAAUAACGGGCGAUACGAGUAUUGCAUUGAAUGUACCGUAAGAAUAAGCAUCGGCUAACUCCGUGCCAGCAGCCGCGGUAAUACGGAGGAUGCGAGCGUUAUCCGGAUUUAUUGGGUUUAAAGGGUGCGUAGGUUGUUCGGUAAGUCAGCGGUGAAACCUGAGCGCUCAACGUUCAGCCUGCCGUUGAAACUGCCGGGCUUGAGUUCAGUGGCGGCAGGCGGAAUUCGUGGUGUAGCGGUGAAAUGCAUAGAUAUCACGAGGAACUCCGAUUGCGAAGGCAGCUUGCCAUACUGCGACUGACACUGAGGCACGAAGGCGUGGGUAUCAAACAGGAUUAGAUACCCUGGUAGUCCACGCAGUAAACGAUGAUUACUAGGAGUUUGCGAUAUACCGUCAAGCUUCCACAGCGAAAGCGUUAAGUAAUCCACCUGGGGAGUACGCCGGCAACGGUGAAACUCAAAGGAAUUGACGGGGGCCCGCACAAGCGGAGGAACAUGUGGUUUAAUUCGAUGAUACGCGAGGAACCUUACCCGGGAUUGAAAUGUAGAUGACGGAUGGUGAAAACCGUCUUCCCUUCGGGGCUUCUAUGUAGGUGCUGCAUGGUUGUCGUCAGCUCGUGCCGUGAGGUGUCGGCUUAAGUGCCAUAACGAGCGCAACCCACAUCGGUAGUUGCUAACAGUUUUCGCUGAGGACUCUACCGAGACUGCCGUCGUAAGGCGUGAGGAAGGUGUGGAUGACGUCAAAUCAGCACGGCCCUUACAUCCGGGGCGACACACGUGUUACAAUGGGAGGGACAAAGGGCAGCUACCGGGCGACCGGAUGCGAAUCUCUAAACCCUUCCCCAGUUCGGAUCGGAGUCUGCAACUCGACUCCGUGAAGCUGGAUUCGCUAGUAAUCGCGCAUCAGCCAUGGCGCGGUGAAUACGUUCCCGGGCCUUGUACACACCGCCCGUCAAGCCAUGGGAGUCGGGGGUACCUGAAGGGCGUAACCGCAAGGGGCGCACUAGGGUAAUACCGGUGACUGGG
RNAcentral lists this ribosomal RNA (1445 nucleotides) under uncultured organism. RNAcentral's name for it is "SSU rRNA". It matches the Rfam family "Bacterial small subunit ribosomal RNA". The record is from RNAcentral.